Molecule: ribosomal RNA, 495 nt
Filed under: uncultured bacterium
Lineage: Bacteria
Description: partial 16S ribosomal RNA
Rfam family: Bacterial small subunit ribosomal RNA
Source: RNAcentral
GACGAACGCUGGCGGCGUGCCUAAUACAUGCAAGUCGAACGCUGAAGGAGGAGCUUGCUUCUCUGGAUGAGUUGCGAACGGGUGAGUAACGCGUAGGUAACCUGCCUGGUAGCGGGGGAUAACUAUUGGAAACGAUAGCUAAUACCGCAUAAUAGCAGUUGUUGCAUGACAGCUGUUUGAAAGGUGCAAUUGCUCCACUACCAGAUGGACCUGCGGUGUAUUAGCUUGUUGGUGGGGUAGCGGCUCACCAUGGCGAGGAUACAUAGCCGACCGGAGAGGGGGAGCAGCCGCACUGAGACGGUGACACGGCCCAGUCGCCUACGGGAGGGAGCCGUAGGGAAUCGGCGGGAAGAGGCGGAAAUCUGACCGAGAAACGCCGCGGGAGGAAAGAGGGAUGUCGGGUCGUAAAGCUCGGUUGUAAGGGAAGAACGAGUGUGAGAGUGGAAAGUUCACACAGUGACGGUAACUGACCAGAAAGCGACGGCUAACUACGUG